This 487-nucleotide ribosomal RNA is filed under the name uncultured bacterium. Its description in RNAcentral is "partial 16S ribosomal RNA". It matches the Rfam family "Bacterial small subunit ribosomal RNA", at positions 29 to 507 of the family's 1533-position model. The record is from RNAcentral.
AUGAACGCUAGCGGCAGGCCUAAUACCUGCAAGUCGGACGGGAUCCAUUGAUAGCUUGCUCUCAAUGGUGAGAGUGGCGCACGGGUGCGUAACGCGUGAGCAACCUGCCUCCAUCAGGGGGAUAGCCUCUCGAAAGAGAGAUUAACACCGCAUAAUAUCAACAGUUCGCAUGUUCAGUUGAUUAAAUAUUUAUAGGAUGGAGAUGGGCUCGCGUGACAUUAGCUAGUUGGUAGGGUAACGGCUUACCAAGGCGACGAUGUCUAGGGGCUCUGAGAGGAGAAUCCCCCACACUGGUACUGAGACACGGACCAGACUCCUACGGGAGGCAGCAGUAAGGAAUAUUGGUCAAUGGGCGGAAGCCUGAACCAGCCAUGCCGCGUGCAGGAUGACUGCCCUAUGGGUUGUAAACUGCUUUUGUCCAGGAAUAAACCUAAAUACGAGUAUUUAGCUGAAUGUACUGGAAGAAUAAGGAUCGGCUAACUCCGUG